RNAcentral lists this ribosomal RNA (598 nucleotides) under Salmonella enterica. Its description in RNAcentral is "partial 23S ribosomal RNA". It matches the Rfam family "Bacterial large subunit ribosomal RNA", at positions 592 to 1191 of the family's 2925-position model. Lineage: Bacteria; Pseudomonadati; Pseudomonadota; Gammaproteobacteria; Enterobacterales; Enterobacteriaceae. The record is from RNAcentral. RNAcentral also lists the same sequence under 1 other name.
UGUGACUGCGUACCUUUUGUAUAAUGGGUCAGCGACUUAUAUUCUGUAGCAAGGUUAACCGAAUAGGGGAGCCGGAGGGAAACCGAGUCUUAACCGGGCGUUAAGUUGCAGGGUAUAGACCCGAAACCCGGUGAUCUAGCCAUGGGCAGGUUGAAGGUUGGGUAACACUAACUGGAGGACCGAACCGACUAAUGUUGAAAAAUUAGCGGAUGACCUGUGGCUGGGGGUGAAAGGCCAAUCAAACCGGGAGAUAGCUGGUUCUCCCCGAAAGCUAUUUAGGUAGCGCCUCGUGAAUUCAUCUCCGGGGGUAGAGCACUGUUUCGGCUAGGGGGCCAUCCCGGCUUACCAACCCGAUGCAAACUGCGAAUACCGGAGAAUGUUAUCACGGGAGACACACGGCGGGUGCUAACGUCCGUCGUGAAGAGGGAAACAACCCAGACCGCCAGCUAAGGUCCCAAAGUCAUGGUUAAGUGGGAAACGAUGUGGGAAGGCCCAGACAGCCAGGAUGUUGGCUUAGAAGCAGCCAUCAUUUAAAGAAAGCGUAAUAGCUCACUGGUCGAGUCGGCCUGCGCGGAAGAUGUAACGGGGCUAAACCAUG